RNAcentral lists this ribosomal RNA (1607 nucleotides) under Salmonella enterica subsp. enterica serovar Enteritidis. RNAcentral's name for it is "partial 23S ribosomal RNA". It matches the Rfam family "Bacterial large subunit ribosomal RNA", at positions 1292 to 2877 of the family's 2925-position model. Lineage: Bacteria; Pseudomonadati; Pseudomonadota; Gammaproteobacteria; Enterobacterales; Enterobacteriaceae. The record is from RNAcentral.
GAAUGCUGACAUAAGUAACGAUAAAGCGGGUGAAAAGCCCGCUCGCCGGAAGACCAAGGGUUCCUGUCCAACGUUAAUCGGGGCAGGGUGAGUCGACCCCUAAGGCGAGGCCGAAAGGCGUAGUCGAUGGGAAACGGGUUAAUAUUCCCGUACUUGGUGUUACUGCGAAGGGGGGACGGAGAAGGCUAUGUUGGCCGGGCGACGGUUGUCCCGGUUUAAGCGUGUAGGUGUGUGUUCCAGGUAAAUCCGGUUCACUUUAACACUGAGGCGUGACGACGAGGCACUACGGUGCUGAAGCAACAAAUGCCCUGCUUCCAGGAAAAGCCUCUAAGCAUCAGGUAACAUCAAAUCGUACCCCAAACCGACACAGGUGGUCAGGUAGAGAAUACCAAGGCGCUUGAGAGAACUCGGGUGAAGGAACUAGGCAAAAUGGUGCCGUAACUUCGGGAGAAGGCACGCUGACACGUAGGUGAAGUGAUUUACUCAUGGAGCUGAAGUCAGUCGAAGAUACCAGCUGGCUGCAACUGUUUAUUAAAAACACAGCACUGUGCAAACACGAAAGUGGACGUAUACGGUGUGACGCCUGCCCGGUGCCGGAAGGUUAAUUGAUGGGGUCAGCGCAAGCGAAGCUCCUGAUCGAAGCCCCGGUAAACGGCGGCCGUAACUAUAACGGUCCUAAGGUAGCGAAAUUCCUUGUCGGGUAAGUUCCGACCUGCACGAAUGGCGUAAUGAUGGCCAGGCUGUCUCCACCCGAGACUCAGUGAAAUUGAACUCGCUGUGAAGAUGCAGUGUACCCGCGGCAAGACGGAAAGACCCCGUGAACCUUUACUAUAGCUUGACACUGAACAUUGAGCCUUGAUGUGUAGGAUAGGUGGGAGGCUUUGAAGUGUGGACGCCAGUCUGCAUGGAGCCGACCUUGAAAUACCACCCUUUAAUGUUUGAUGUUCUAACGUGGACCCGUUACCCGGGUUGCGGACAGUGUCUGGUGGGUAGUUUGACUGGGGCGGUCUCCUCCUAAAGAGUAACGGAGGAGCACGAAGGUUGGCUAAUCCUGGUCGGACAUCAGGAGGUUAGUGCAAUGGCAUAAGCCAGCUUGACUGCGAGCGUGACGGCGCGAGCAGGUGCGAAAGCAGGUCAUAGUGAUCCGGUGGUUCUGAAUGGAAGGGCCAUCGCUCAACGGAUAAAAGGUACUCCGGGGAUAACAGGCUGAUACCGCCCAAGAGUUCAUAUCGACGGCGGUGUUUGGCACCUCGAUGUCGGCUCAUCACAUCCUGGGGCUGAAGUAGGUCCCAAGGGUAUGGCUGUUCGCCAUUUAAAGUGGUACGCGAGCUGGGUUUAGAACGUCGUGAGACAGUUCGGUCCCUAUCUGCCGUGGGCGCUGGAGAACUGAGGGGGGCUGCUCCUAGUACGAGAGGACCGGAGUGGACGCAUCACUGGUGUUCGGGUUGUCAUGCCAAUGGCACUGCCCGGUAGCUAAAUGCGGAAGAGAUAAGUGCUGAAAGCAUCUAAGCACGAAACUUGCCCCGAGAUGAGUUCUCCCUGAGACUUAGAGUCUCCUGAAGGAACGUUGAAGACGACGACGUUGAUAGGCCGGGUGUGUAAGCGCA